GUUGGUGUUGUCUGUACUGUCAUGGUGGUUUCAGAGAGGGUUAGUUGGUGUUGUCUGUACUGUCAUGGUGGUUUCAGAGAGGGUUAGUUGGUAUUGUCUGUACUGUCAUGGUGGUUUCAGAGAGGGUUAGAUGGUGGUUGUCUGGGGUUGGUAGAUGAGGUGAGAUUAGCUUGGCGUCUGUGAACUGUAGUGUUAUUGUUCUAAGAUUGUAGAGUGGCGUGAUGGAUGGAUGGAUGGAUGGAUGGAUAGGUGGUGGGAGUACAUUAUUAGAAGGAUUCCACAGGUUGUUGUGGUAGAUAAGAUGUAUCAGUCACUGUCUGACAGUGGAUAGGAUGUUUGCUGUAGUGUUGUUAGUGGAGGUUAGGACUAGUAACAGGGAUGUUGUAGUGUUUGUGGAGGUUAGGACUAGUAACAGGGAUGUUGUAGUGUUAGUGGAGGUUAGGACUAGUAACAGGGAUGUUGUAGUGUUGGUGGAGGUUAGGACUAGUAACAGGGAUGUUGUAGUGUUGGUGGAGGUUAGGACUAGUAACAGGGAUGUUGUAGUGUUGGUGGAGGUUAGGACUAGUAACAGGGAUGUUGUAGUGUUAGUGGAGGUUAGGACUAGUAACAGGGAUGUUGUAGUGUUUGUGGAGGUUAGGACUAGUAACAGGGAUGUUGUAGUGUUUGGAGGUUAGGACUAGUAACAAGGAUGUUGUAGUGUUUGUGGAGGUUAGGACUAGUAACAGGGAUGUUGUAGUGUUGGUGGAGGUUAGGACUAGUAACAGGGAUGUUGUAGUGUUUGUGGAGGUUAGGACUAGUAACAGGGAUGUUGUGGUGUUUGUGGAGGUUAGGACUAGUAACAGGGAUGUUGUAGUGUUAGUGGAGGUUAGGAUUAGUAACAGGGAUGUUGUGGAGGUUAGGACUAGUAACAGGGAUGUUGUAGUGUUUGUGGAGGUUAGGACUAGUAACAGGGAUGUUGUAGUGUUAGUGGAGGUUAGGAUUAGUAACAGGGAUGUUGUGGAGGUUAGGACUAGUAACAGGGAUGUUGUAGUGUUUGUGGAGGUUAGGACUAGUAACAGGGAUGUUGUAGUGUUUGUGGAGGGUAGGACUAGUAACAGGGAUGUUGUAGUGUUGGUGGAGGUUAGGACUAGUAACAGGGAUGUUGUAGUGUUGGUGGAGGUUAGGACUAGUAACAGGGAUGUUGUGGAGGUUAGGACUAGUAACGGGGAUGUUGUGGUGUUGGUGGAGGUUAGGACUAGUAACGGGGAUGUUGUAGUGUUAGUGGAGGUUAGGACUAGUAACGGGGAUGUUGUGGUGUUAGUGGAGGUUAGGACUAGUAACGGGGAUGUUGUGGUGUUGGUGGAGGUUAGGACUAGUAACAGGGAUGUUGUAGUGUUUGGAGGUUAGGACUAGUAACAGGGAUGUUGUAGUGUUAGUGGAGGUUAGGACUAGUGACAGGGAUGUUGUGGUGUUAGUGGAGGUUAGGACUAGUGACAGGGAUGUUGUGGUGUUAGUGGAGGUUAGGACUAGUGACAGGGAUGUUGUAGUGUUAGUGGAGGUUAGGACUAGUAACAGGGAUGUUGUAGUGUUAGUGGAGGUUAGGACUAGUAACAGGGAUGUUGUAGUGUUAGUGGAGGUUAGGACUAGUAACAUGGAUGUUGUGGAGGUUAGUGGAGGUUAGGACUAGUAACAGGGAUGUUGUAGUGUUUGGAGGUUAGGACUAGUAACAGGGAUGUUGUAGUGUUGGUGGAGGUUAGGACUAGUAACAGGGAUGUUGUAGUGUUUGUGGAGGUCAGGACUAGUAACAGGGAUGUUGUAGUGUUAGUGGAGGUUAGGACUAGUAACAGGGAUGUUGUAGUGUUUGUGGAGGUUAGGACUAGUAACAGGGAUGUUGUAGUGUUAGUGGAGGUUAGGACUAGUAACAGGGAUGUUGUAGUGUUAGUGGAG
RNAcentral lists this long non-coding RNA (1926 nucleotides) under Salmo salar (Atlantic salmon). RNAcentral's name for it is "lncRNA (ENSSSAG00000091667.1)". The record is from RNAcentral. Lineage: Eukaryota; Metazoa; Chordata; Actinopteri; Salmoniformes; Salmonidae.